UUCAUGUUAAUAACUGACUACCGAGACAUGCUAUUUGGCUCUAUGUGUCUGUUUCCCACAGAAAGGAUGUCGGGCCUGGUGUUGAUGGGCAAGCUCUCCAGAACAUGGGUACCACACGUGCAGCACGGGCUUGGGCCUCAGUCAGGCACGCUGGAGCACUCAUUGCCGCUCUGGUGCCACCCACAGGACGAGCUCACACAUGCUCACUCUGCAUGUACAAGCAGCAGAAAAAUGAGCCAAAGCAUCCUUUGAAGCAAAACAUUACAUAGAAUGCAAUUCGUUCUCACUGUGUCUCUCUUCUCCUGGAAACUAUUACUGAAGAUAAAUCAGGUGAGGCUGCAGUGCAUCUUGCUCCUCCAUGGGCAGGUCCUAUUAGUAGC
Molecule: long non-coding RNA, 380 nt
Filed under: Pan troglodytes (chimpanzee)
Lineage: Eukaryota; Metazoa; Chordata; Mammalia; Primates; Hominidae
Description: lncRNA (ENSPTRG00000052996.1)
Source: RNAcentral